RNAcentral lists this ribosomal RNA (628 nucleotides) under Triticum aestivum (bread wheat). RNAcentral describes it as "partial small subunit ribosomal RNA". Lineage: Eukaryota; Viridiplantae; Streptophyta; Magnoliopsida; Poales; Poaceae. The record is from RNAcentral.
CUGGCCGGCUUCGAAGAAGCCGGCCAGGCGGCCUAAAUUUGCAAAGGGUAUUUGAAUAUGGUAUGGGAUAUAAGAGAAGAGACAGGAGAGUAGGCGGCACGCACUGGCGGCGGCGCUUAGCAGGGGUUGCGGCUAGACCGACCUGGGAGCGGCAUAAUCGGCAGGGGCUGGAGCGGCACCGGUCAGUACCGGCCUAGGAGGGGCGGAUUGGCAUGGGCUCGAGCGGCACCGAGCUAGAGCGGGCUGCUUCACUCCGCUGCCAUACUUGGCUGGCCGUCUCCCUCCUUCCCUCCAUGGACGCCACCACCGCCGCCGCGGGCCGCUGGUAGACCAAGACUAAGCCGGCGCAGGCCGAGGAUAAGUUACAGUCCAUCUAGACUAAGCUAGCGCAGGCUGUGCCUUAGGCCCAGUCUGUCUCCCUCGUCGUCUAGCUUUUUUUGGUCCUACAGAUUCGCCGAGGUCCCUCUCCUCUAUGUCCGUUUGACGCGGGCGUUUUCCAGUGCUGGAAGACUAGUCUUCGUGGAGAUAGACCACGACCUACUGACCUUUCUACCCAAGUCGUAAGUGUUCUAACUGCGGCUGCUGCUACUGCGCCUGGAACCGGUCGGUGGCCAGGAGGCCAACCACA